AAACGACUCUCGGCAAUGGAUAUCUCGGCUCUUGCAUCGAUGAAGAACGUAGCGAAAUGCGAUACUUGGUGUGAAUUGCAGAAUCCCGUGAACCAUCGAGUCUUUGAACGCAAGUUGCGCCUGAAGCCAUUAGGCCGAGGGCACGCCUGCCUGGGUGUCACA
Molecule: ribosomal RNA, 162 nt
Filed under: Candolleodendron brachystachyum
Lineage: Eukaryota; Viridiplantae; Streptophyta; Magnoliopsida; Fabales; Fabaceae
Description: 5.8S ribosomal RNA
Rfam family: 5.8S ribosomal RNA
About the family: 5.8S ribosomal RNA (5.8S rRNA) is a component of the large subunit of the eukaryotic ribosome.
Source: RNAcentral